Molecule: ribosomal RNA, 484 nt
Filed under: uncultured bacterium
Lineage: Bacteria
Description: partial 16S ribosomal RNA
Rfam family: Bacterial small subunit ribosomal RNA
Source: RNAcentral
AUUGAACGCUGGCGGCAGGCCUAACACAUGCAAGUCGAGCGGAUGAAGGGAGCUUGCUCCUGGAUUCAGCGGCGGACGGGUGAGUAAUGCCUAGGAAUCUGCCUGGUAGUGGGGGAUAACGUCCGGAAACGGGCGCUAAUACCGAAUACGUCCUGAGGGAGAAAGUGGGGGAUCUUCGGACCUCACGCUAUCAGAUGAGCCUAGGUCGGAUUAGCUAGUUGGUGGGGUAAAGGCCUACCAAGGCGACGAUCCGUAACUGGUCUGAGAGGAUGAUCAGUCACACUGGAACUGAGACACGGUCCAGACUCCUACGGGAGGCAGCAGUGGGGAAUAUUGGACAAUGGGCGAAAGCCUGAUCCAGCCAUGCCGCGUGUGUGAAGAAGGUCUUCGGAUUGUAAAGCACUUUAAGUUGGGAGGAAGGGCAGUAAGUUAAUACCUUGCUGUUUUGACGUUACCAACAGAAUAAGCACCGGCUAACUUCGUG